UACGUAGGGUGCGAGCGUUGUCCGGAUUUAUUGGGCGUAAAGAGCGUGUAGGCGGCCUGAUAGGUCAGCUGUGAAAACUCGAGGCUCAACCUCGAGACGUCGGUUGAAACCAUCUGGCUAGAGUCCGGAAGAGGAGUGUGGAAUUCCCGGUGUAGCGGUGAAAUGCGCAGAUAUCGGGAAGAACACCAGUGGCGAAGGCGGCUAUCUGGACGGUUUCUGACGCUAAGACGCGAAAGCGUGGGGAGCAAACAGG
This 253-nucleotide ribosomal RNA is filed under the name uncultured bacterium. Its description in RNAcentral is "partial 16S ribosomal RNA". It matches the Rfam family "Bacterial small subunit ribosomal RNA", at positions 524 to 776 of the family's 1533-position model. The record is from RNAcentral.